This is a long non-coding RNA of Myodes glareolus (Bank vole), 730 nucleotides long. RefSeq lists it as uncharacterized. The record is from RefSeq and is a predicted model, not a curated record. Lineage: Eukaryota; Metazoa; Chordata; Mammalia; Rodentia; Cricetidae.
CACCGACUGACGGGAGAUCUUGGAGGCCUGCUGUCAUGGCUGAGGAUAGCCUUCGGGCUAUCCUCACUUCUAGGAUAACCUCAUUUCUCUUGGAGCUUCCCCUUUCUAGGCAACUCUGGCCAAGUCACAUGAGUUUCUGAAGCCUCAGCCUCUGCAUCUAUGACAUCAGAAUGACCCCUGGCUUGCCUUGUACACUAGAUGGUCACUAGACUUUGAGGACACAGUGAACGAGGGAGCACAUUGGAGGAGAAGUGCACAGCUGGACAGGAUGAGGCCUGCCUGCACCUCUGGAAGCAAGCAUUAAAGGACCACAAAUAGGUCCGCCACCAGGAGAGAUGGAAUAAUGGUUCCCUGGCCCAUCAAAUGUAUCUACAUCCUAGUCCCUGGAAGCUGUAACAUCACUACGUAAGGUCACAUGUUACCAGGGCAAAAAUGACGCAGAGGGAAGGGUGAGGAAAGCACAUGAGAAAGAAGCCCAAAGCACGUUGUGACAUUUAAGAUAAGAAACAGUGGUGUAGACAAGGCAAGGAAGAAUUCUUGAAAAAUAAAAAGCAGCCGAUGAAUACAAUAAGGGGAGUGUUCACAAGAAAAUAAGCCGUAGCCUCUGUGUUGUUUAAGUUGACAGCCCACCUGGAGAAAUGUGAAGCAAACGGAAAGACCAGCAUAGUAAGAAGAUGGCGGAACAGAGUCUGAAACCACGAUGGGCAGGAUUAAAGGCUGGAAAACUAAA